Non-coding RNA from Lolium perenne, 561 nucleotides. The record is from RefSeq and is a predicted model, not a curated record. NCBI's taxonomy places the organism in Eukaryota, Viridiplantae, Streptophyta, Magnoliopsida, Poales, Poaceae.
CUCCCAUCCAGAUCUUCUUCCUCUCGUCGGGCCGGGCCAGCUCCCGGACCUGUGCCGCCACCGCCACCGCAGCCGCUCACCUCCUCUCCCUGGCCUCCUCCACCAUCAUGGCGUCAUCCCAGCAUCACCACCCUCCUCUAUGACAAGGGCCACCGACGGGCGACGCGAAGAGUUAGCACACUGGCCAUGACGAGGCGGUGACGGCGACAAGAUAUGUAAGUCGACUCACUGGCUAGGAGAGACCGCGCCCAUGCCCGCCCCUCUCGAUCGAGGGUCUACAUUGAUCGCCUUGCAGCGCCGAUAUGCCGCAACCAACCUCGUCCAAAUAGAUCAAGACAAUGGAAUCAUACUUGACGACGAUGCAUCGGGUGCUCUACAGGAGCAACAAACCAUGGACGAGUUUUUGCUCCUUGGGCAUUGAGCAGCAAGCCAUAUCGAAUUCAGAUGAGCAUGGGAAAGGAGUGGUCUGCAUCCAGGUGAAACGCGGUUACUUGCACUGCUCCAUACGAUUUUUUGUAGAUGAAAUAUCUUAUUUUAUGCCAUACAAUUCCAGUUACGAUA